CAUGGCUCAGGACGAACGCUGGCGGCGUGCCUAAUACAUGCAAGUCGAGCGGACUGGAGAGAGCUUGCUCUCAAAGGUCAGCGGCGGACGGGUGAGUAACACGUGGGCAAUCUGCCCGACAGACUGGGAUAACGCUUGGAAACGAGUGCUAAUACCAGAUAGGCUCUUGGAUCGCAUGAUCCGAGAGGGAAAGGAGCUGUCGCUCCACUGUCAGAUGGACCCGCGGCGCAUUAGCUAGUUGGUGAGGUAACGGCUCACCAAGGCGACGAUGCGUAGCCGACCUGAGAGGGUGACCGGCCACACUGGGACUGAGACACGGCCCAGACUCCUACGGGAGGCAGCAGUAGGGAAUCUUCCGCAAUGGGCGCAAGCCUGACGGAGCAACGCCGCGUGAGUGAUGAAGGCCUUCGGGUUGUAAAACUCUGUCUUCUGUGAAGAACAAGCCUGUGAGUGGAAUGCUCAGGCCCUGACGGUAACAGAGGAGGAAGCCCCGGCUAACUACGUGCCAGCAGCCGCGGUAAUACGUAGGGGGCAAGCGUUGUCCGGAAUCACUGGGCGUAAAGCGCGUGCAGGCGGCGAUCUGCGU
Molecule: ribosomal RNA, 586 nt
Filed under: uncultured soil bacterium
Lineage: Bacteria
Description: bacterial SSU rRNA
Rfam family: Bacterial small subunit ribosomal RNA
Source: RNAcentral